UACGGAGGGGGCUAGCGUUGUUCGGAAUUACUGGGCGUAAAGCGUGCGUAGGUGGUUUGUUAAGUCUGUUGUGAAAGCCCCGGGCUCAACCUGGGAAUGGCAAUGGAUACUGGCAGGCUAGAGUGCGGUAGAGGGUAGUGGAAUUCCCGGUGUAGCGGUGAAAUGCGUAGAGAUCGGGAGGAACACCAGUGGCGAAGGCGGCUACCUGGACCAGCACUGACACUGAGACACGAAAGCGUGGGGAGCAAACAGG
Molecule: ribosomal RNA, 253 nt
Filed under: uncultured bacterium
Lineage: Bacteria
Description: partial 16S ribosomal RNA
Rfam family: Bacterial small subunit ribosomal RNA
Source: RNAcentral